This 1659-nucleotide unclassified non-coding RNA is filed under the name Amphibalanus amphitrite. RNAcentral's name for it is "general transcription factor IIH subunit 2-like, transcript variant X3". Lineage: Eukaryota; Metazoa; Arthropoda; Thecostraca; Balanomorpha; Balanidae. The record is from RNAcentral.
AGCUGUGACGAUGAAGUGACGCAGUCAGCACGCUUGUUUUCAUUUUCCAUUUCAAUUUCUUGUUCCAUUUCGGCAGUAUUUUUUUCAAGUGAUUUUCCAUCAAGGAUUAGCUAUUUCAAUUUUUGGGAGCUAAACGAUAAACUUUUCUCAUUACGGCCUAACUAAGUCACGAUGGCUGAAGACGAGGAGGAGGGGUACCGCUGGGAGUCCGGAUAUGAAAAGACAUGGGAGGCCAUUCAGGAGGAUGAGGCGGGUCUCCUGGACAGCUCGGUCGCCGACCUGGUGGCGCGCGCUAAGCGGGCCCGCCUACACCGGGCGCGGCCGCACGUGCGCCUGGGCAUCAUGCGGCACCUGUACCUGGUGCUGGACGCCUCCGAGGCCAUGUUCGUGCAGGACCUGAAACCCACGCGGCUCAUUUGCUGCCUCAAGAUCCUGGAGGGUUACGUGCAGGAGUUUUUCGACCAGAACCCCAUCAGUCAGCUGGGAAUCAUCGUGACCAAAAACAAACGGGCUGAGGUGGUCUGUGAGCUCGGUGGGAACCCCAUCAAAGUCAUCGAGCACCUGCGCAAGCUAUCGUCUGCGCCAUGCGUGGGCGAGCCGAGUCUGAUGAACGCUCUGGAGCUGGCAGCCAGCUCCCUGCGCACCAUGCCGAGCCACGCGAGCCGGGAGGUGCUGGUCCUGAUGGCGAGUCUGACCACCUGUGACCCGGGGAACAUCAACGCCACCAUACAGUCGCUCUGUAAGGAGAAGAUCCGCUGCUCAGUGAUCGGCCUGGCCGCCGAGCUGCGCAUCACGCGCCACCUGGCGCAGGAGACGGGCGGAGAGUACGCCGUGUGUCUGGACGACUCGCACCUGCGCGACCUGACCAUGGCGCACGUGCAGCCACCGCCGGCCGUGGCCCAUAUGGAGGCCGCUCUGAUACGGAUCGGCUUCCCGUCGCACAAUACCAGCGCCGACAGUCCCGGCAAACUGUCCUACUGUAUGUGUCACCUGAACGGGCCGGCGCCGCCGGAGGGUCCGGACCGCGGCGGAUACCUGUGUCCGCAGUGCUACAGCAAACACUGCGAGCUGCCUGUGGACUGUGCCACCUGCGGCCUGACGCUGAUGUCGGCGCCGCACCUGGCGCGCAGCUACCACCACCUGUUCCCUCUGGAGCCGUUCGAGGAGGUGGAGCGGCCGCCCGGCGGACCCCCGCAGCACUGCGCCGCCUGCCGGGCGAGGAUUGAUACACAGAAGCUGAUAUCCAAGUGUGGAAAAUGCAGCGAACUGUACUGCGUCGAUUGCGACCUAUUCAUCCACGAAACUCUGCACGUGUGCCCGGGCUGCUCACGUGGCUCACACAGCACGUGACACGCGGCCCGGCACGUGGAGGUGGCUGUGACAUCACGCGGCUCCGGCUACGGCGGCGCGGCGCGGCGCGGCACACUGUGGCGCCCUCUGCACUCGUAUGGCUGCCAUCAGAAGUCGAAGGUUAUGCACUGGAAAAUAUUGCAGCUGAAGGAAAUUGGAGUUGGCGAGCCGGAUACAGCUUGCAAAGCAUCAACAGCUCGCUCACUUGCCAAUAUUUCGGUUGGAACGGGCUCGACCGUCUGCAGAUGGUGUGAAAAAUUCAUAAAUUCACCAUCCUGCAAUCAAUUUGAAUAUAUUUUCAUCUGCAUC